CAGUCGAACGCUUUGUCUUUAAUUGAUCUGACGAGCUUGCUCUGAUUUGAUUUUAUCUGACAAAGAGUGGCGAACGGGUGAGUAACACGUGGGUAACCUACCUCUUAGCAGGGGAUAACAUUUGGAAACAAGUGCUAAUACCGUAUAAUACCAACAACCGCAUGGUUGUUGGUUGAAAGAUGGUUCUGCUAUCACUAAGAGAUGGACCCGCGGUGCAUUAGCUAGUUGGUAAGGUAACGGCUUACCAAGGCAAUGAUGCAUAGCCGAGUUGAGAGACUGAUCGGCCACAAUGGGACUGAGACACGGCCCAUACUCCUACGGGAGGCAGCAGUAGGGAAUCUUCCACAAUGGGCGCAAGCCUGAUGGAGCAACGCCGCGUGUGUGAUGAAGGGUUUCGGCUCGUAAAACACUGUUAUAAGAGAAGAACGGCACUGAGAGUAACUGUUCAGUGUGUGACGGUAUCUUACCAGAAAGGAACGGCUAAAUACGUGCCAGCAGCCGCGGUAAUACGUAUGUUCCAAGCGUUAUCCGGAUUUAUUGGGCGUAAAGCGAGCGCAGACGGUUAUUUAAGUCUGAAGUGAAAGCCCUCAGCUCAACUGAGGAAUGGCUUUGGAAACUGGAUGACUUGAGUG
This 632-nucleotide ribosomal RNA is filed under the name Weissella paramesenteroides. Its description in RNAcentral is "bacterial SSU rRNA". It matches the Rfam family "Bacterial small subunit ribosomal RNA", at positions 59 to 648 of the family's 1533-position model. Lineage: Bacteria; Bacillati; Bacillota; Bacilli; Lactobacillales; Lactobacillaceae. The record is from RNAcentral.